UACGGAGGGUGCAAGCGUUAUCCGGAUUCACUGGGUUUAAAGGGUGCGUAGGUUGAUUGGUAAGUCAGUGGUGAAAUACUCCGACUCAAUCGGAGAACUGCCGUUGAUACUAUCAAUCUUGAAUACGGUGGAGGCGGGCGGAAUGCGUCAUGUAGUAGUGAAAUACUUAGAUAUGACGCAGAACACCUAUUGCGAAGGCAGCUCGCUACACCGGCAUUGACACUGAGGCACGAAAGCGUGGGGAGCAAACAGG
RNAcentral lists this ribosomal RNA (253 nucleotides) under uncultured bacterium. Its description in RNAcentral is "partial 16S ribosomal RNA". It matches the Rfam family "Bacterial small subunit ribosomal RNA", at positions 524 to 776 of the family's 1533-position model. The record is from RNAcentral.